UCCCUGGUGGUCCAGUGGUUAGGACUCCAUGCUUUCACUGGCGGGGCCUGGGUUCAAUCCCCGGUCAGGGAA
This is a non-coding RNA of Physeter macrocephalus (sperm whale), 72 nucleotides long. The record is from the annotation of a RefSeq genome assembly. NCBI's taxonomy places the organism in Eukaryota, Metazoa, Chordata, Mammalia, Artiodactyla, Physeteridae.